UUGGUGGUGCUAAGCUACUAGGCAAAUCAUUCUGGUGAUGAUUAAUUAUGAUGUUUCUCUAUACCCAACCAUUCUCCUCAUCUAUUUUUUUUUCAUAAUAUUACAAACGA
Molecule: non-coding RNA, 110 nt
Filed under: Heterosigma akashiwo
Lineage: Eukaryota; Raphidophyceae; Chattonellales; Chattonellaceae
Source: RNAcentral